GCAUUCCCUCUCUCACUCACUGUAAUUGCGAUGCAAUGAUGUCAGCGUGACAGGUGAGACCGAACGCGAGACAGCGUUGAAUAAGCUGCCGCCACAAGUAUCAAGAGCACCAAAGACGUAUCGGAGACACUCUAUGGGGUGUCAAUUUAAUCAUGCUCGAACCGGGUAUCGCCUUCCUCCCCCAUGAUUCCACCAUUGACAAAGAAUCCUGCGUACUGCGUUGCACGGGGCGGCGCUGCGGCCUCCUGCUCUAUACGGAAUCUGUGACUGACACGAUCCCUGACACGCAGACAUACGCGCACACACACACACAUCACAGCGGGGGCAACUGAAGGGUUGGUGAUGUGCAUAGUGUGGCCAAGCUCCACGCAGCCAGGGCAAGGUAAUGAUUCAUGUCGAAUUAAUAUCAGAGAGAAUCCAGACUAAACAAAAUAAUAGAAAAACUUCAAAGGAUUCAAUGCGAAGUAUAAAGUAACCUGUGUGACUCACUUGGAUGUGCCUUGUGCUCUGCCAUGCGUUCUACCUGUGAAAUCAAACUGAGUCAUAGCUAUGACUCCCCCCCACACACACACACACACACACACACACACACACACACACACACACACACACACACACACACACACACACACACACACACACACACACACACACACACACACACACACACACACACACACACACACACACACACACACACACACUUCCACCCAUCACUGGCCCCCCAGCCCUCAUACACAGUCUGCAGGCAAACAAGAAAUAAUUCAUACGGCUUCCCACACAGGAGUGGGUGUCCUGUAUCGGCCUGUCCGCUCCGCUGCCUGUCUGUUAUCACCUGCAAUUGAGGUCAGAGGUCAGGGGUCAGGCAGGCGUCCAGCGAUGACGUGGCCUCGGCAGCUGAUGACGUCACCGGUCUCUCGCGGCCUCAGUCCCUCGACGAUCGAGGAGUCGGACCCGAUGUCCAGAGAGAUGUCGUGUGGUCUCUACCCGCCGAAGCAGAAGAAGCUCUCGGGUGUCAGCUGGGCAGCUUCUGGCACAAAGUCUCACAAAUCCUCAAGGUUUCCCACGUCGAUCACGACGAGCUGAAGCCUUCAGCGCAAGCUAGGUUAGCUGUGGCUAACAGUCCGUUCACUUUGCUAAUGAAUGCUCAAAAUAAACACCGUAAGCUAAUGAGCUAAUUACACACGCGAAGCUAAUACAACGAGUGAACGACGGUAUGAUGAACUUCGGGUAGAAAUACCUCCUGUUGCCCACAAAUAAUAUGUAGAGGCAAUAUUCUGAUUGAGACUGUCGAUACUGUUAAGACGUCAACUACAUAUUUGUUUGCGCAAACUUUAUCACUGUGACUUAGUCAAACAAGUGCCCCCUACUCACUCCACUCUACUUCCUCUGCCAUGUAUCUUUCACAAUAAAACUCCACUCUAAUGUCAUUCCUGGUCCC
RNAcentral lists this long non-coding RNA (1441 nucleotides) under Scophthalmus maximus (turbot). RNAcentral describes it as "lncRNA (ENSSMAG00000032815.1)". The record is from RNAcentral. Lineage: Eukaryota; Metazoa; Chordata; Actinopteri; Pleuronectiformes; Scophthalmidae.